CGGGGCAUGGCGCAGUCUGGUAGCGCACUUGCAUGGGGUGCAAGGGGUCGCAGGUUCAAAUCCUGCUGUCCCGACCA
This 77-nucleotide transfer RNA is filed under the name Lysobacteraceae bacterium. Its description in RNAcentral is "tRNA-Pro". It matches the Rfam family "tRNA". Rfam says of the family: Transfer RNA (tRNA) molecules are approximately 80 nucleotides in length. RNAcentral also lists the same sequence under 1 other name. The record is from RNAcentral. Lineage: Bacteria; Pseudomonadati; Pseudomonadota; Gammaproteobacteria; Lysobacterales; Lysobacteraceae.